UUGUAAGGGUUCCUUCUGAGACUUUUAGAGGAGAAACAACCAAAUCAGAGAAGACAGAAGAGACCAUGUAGUCUAACCAGGAAUUAUCAGAGGGUUGUGGGAGCUCAGAUAACACUUGUCCAAGGCAUUUCAGAAGACUUCUGAAGAGUUGACAUAUCUGAGUACUGAAGAUGAGCUCUUGUUAGCAAGCCUAAAGAAAGUGAAUACAAAGAUUGUGCAGGGCAGGCUACUGAUAUGUGACUUUCCAGAGGUGGAUGUGGUUAACUAUGGCAGGAACUUACGGUGUUUGCUUGAAUUUGCUUCUGAGAGCAAAAUUGGGGACAUUAGAAAAAAAACUACCUAUUUGGUAUUUUGUGAUUAAGGGCCCCGGAUACUUAGCCAGUUGUCCUUUAAAGAACUGGUGCUGGGCUGUCUAGGCAGCUCCUCCUAUACCGCCAGGCAGCUUGAGUGAGCUACCACCCCGGAAAUGACGUGCUGCCCUGCUGGCGGUGCGGAAGUGGAGAUGGCGGAGCUGUACGUGAAGCCCGGUGAGCGCGGCUGGCGGGCUGGUGGUACUCGCCCUCUCCCGUCCCCUAAACCCCAGUGUAUGCUCCGUUGGUCUCUUGGGUUCCUGGUCUCGUUUCACACACUUCUUCGCCUUCGCAGGCAACAAGGAACGCGGCUGGAACGACCCGCCACAAUUCUCCUACGGGCUGCAGACUCAGACUGGUGGAACCAAACGCACUCCCCUUACUA
RNAcentral lists this long non-coding RNA (735 nucleotides) under Rattus norvegicus (Norway rat). RNAcentral's name for it is "long non-coding RNA NONRATT013760". Lineage: Eukaryota; Metazoa; Chordata; Mammalia; Rodentia; Muridae. The record is from RNAcentral.